GUAGGGAAUAUUGCGCAAUGGACGAAAGUCUGACGCAGCAACGCCGCGUGGGUGAUGAAGCAUUUCGGUGUGUAAAACCCUGUCAGUGGGGAAGAAAAGUAUCAGGAGUAACUGCCUGGUACCUGACGGUACCCGCAGAGGAAGUCCCGGCUAACUCCGUGCCAGCAGCCGCGGUAAUACGGGGGGGACAAGCGUUGUUCGGAUUUACUGGGCGUAAAGGGCGCGUAGGCGGGCCUUCAAGUCGGAUGUGAAACCUGGCGGCUUAACCACCAGCCUGCAUUCGAUACUGUCGGUCUUGAGUAUGGGAGAGGAGAAUGGAAUUUCAGGUGUAGCGGUGAAAUGCGUAGAUAUCUGAAAGAACACCAGUAGCGAAGGCGGUUCUCUGGACCAAUACUGACGCUAAAGCGCGAAGGCUUGGGGAGCAAACAGGAUUAGAAACCCUGGUAGUCC
RNAcentral lists this ribosomal RNA (450 nucleotides) under uncultured bacterium. Its description in RNAcentral is "bacterial SSU rRNA". It matches the Rfam family "Bacterial small subunit ribosomal RNA", at positions 354 to 796 of the family's 1533-position model. The record is from RNAcentral.